RNAcentral lists this long non-coding RNA (476 nucleotides) under Polistes fuscatus (common paper wasp). RNAcentral's name for it is "uncharacterized LOC122518139". Lineage: Eukaryota; Metazoa; Arthropoda; Insecta; Hymenoptera; Vespidae. The record is from RNAcentral.
CCGAACUGGAAGCCGCCAGUCUCUGUUGGUAUAUCGGAGCUGCGCGUUCUCUCGCCUUUCUCGUUUUUCGAACUCUCUCUCUCUCUCGUGUAACGCGUUUCCCGAGCGAGUUUACUCUGGGUAACAGUAAUAUCGUACAGUAGUUCAAUGAUCAUUGUUCAAACAUCGAUCUACAAGUGUGGAAUUUAUUAAAGGAACUUUACUGGCCGAAAACGACAACAAGGUAAUACAAACAAAAAUUAUUGUAAAAUUGACGAUAUAUAUUGAUGAAAGAUGUAUAGAAAAUGAUAGGAACAUGAUUAAUGAGUAUUUUUUUUUGUUCUUUCUCGUACAAUUAAAAGUAUUAUUGUUAAUAUCGAUAACGAUAAGAUCGAUAAAAGACAAGAACUACGAUAAUUUCGGAUCUCAGUUCGGCAAGAAGUGUCGCGAAACGGAAUGCGUACUCGUGACAUUUGAAAACGUAUCUUAAUUUAAAA